GACGAACGCUGGCGGCGUGCCUAACACAUGCAAGUCGAGCGGAGUCAGUAAGAGGAAGUUUUCGGAUGGAAUCUUAUUGAUUUAGCGGCGGACGGGUGAGUAACGCGUGAGCGACCAACCUUGCACAGGGGGAUAACGGACCGAAAGGUUCACUAAUACCGCAUGGGACCACGGUGUUGCAUGACACAGGGGUCAAAGGAGUAAUCCGGUGCAAGACGGGCUCGCGUCCGAUUAGGUAGCUGGAGGGGUAACGGCCCACCAAGCCUAUGAUCGGUAGCCGACCUGAGAGGGUGAUCGGCCACAUUGGAACUGAGAUACGGUCCAAACUCCUACGGGAGGCAGCAGUGGGGAAUAUUGGGCAAUGGGGGAAACCCUGACCCAGCAACGCCGCGUGAAGGAAGAAGGUUUUCGGAUUGUAAACUUCUGUCCUUGGUGAAGAGAAGAAGACGGUAGCCAAGGAGGAAGCCCCGGCUAACUACGUGCCAGCCGCCGCGGUAA
This 498-nucleotide ribosomal RNA is filed under the name uncultured bacterium. RNAcentral describes it as "partial 16S ribosomal RNA". It matches the Rfam family "Bacterial small subunit ribosomal RNA", at positions 28 to 523 of the family's 1533-position model. The record is from RNAcentral.